CUACGUGCCAGCAGCCGCGGUAAUACGUAGGUGGCAAGCGUUAUCCGGAUUUAUUGGGUGUAAAGGGCGUGUAGGCGGGACUGCAAGUCAGGUGUGAAAACCACGGGCUCAACCUGUGGCCUGCAUUUGAAACUGUAGUUCUUGAGUGCUGGAGAGGCAAUCGGAAUUCCGUGUGUAGCGGUGAAAUGCGUAGAUAUACGGAGGAACACCAGUGGCGAAGGCGGAUUGCUGGACAGUAACUGACGCUGAGGCGCGAAAGCGUGGGGAGCA
This 270-nucleotide ribosomal RNA is filed under the name uncultured bacterium. RNAcentral describes it as "partial 16S ribosomal RNA". It matches the Rfam family "Bacterial small subunit ribosomal RNA", at positions 501 to 770 of the family's 1533-position model. The record is from RNAcentral.